RNAcentral lists this ribosomal RNA (424 nucleotides) under uncultured bacterium. RNAcentral describes it as "bacterial SSU rRNA". It matches the Rfam family "Bacterial small subunit ribosomal RNA", at positions 355 to 796 of the family's 1533-position model. The record is from RNAcentral.
UGGGGAAUCUUGCACAAUGGGGGAAACCCUGAUGCAGCGACGCCGCGUGAGCGAUGAAGCCUUUCGGGGUGUAAAGCUCUUUCGACAGGAACGAUAAUGACGGUACCUGGAGAAGAAGCUGCGGCUAACUACGUGCCAGCAGCCGCGGUAAUACGUAGGCAGCAAGCGUUGUUCGGAGUUACUGGGCGUAAAGAGUGCGUAGGCGGUCCUAUAAGUUCCGUGUGAAAUCUCCCGGCUCAACUGGGAGGGUGCGCGGAAGACUGUAGGGCUUGAGUGUGGGAGAGGUAAGCGGAAUUCCUGGUGUAGCGGUGAAAUGCGUAGAUAUCAGGAGGAACACCUGUGGUGUAGACAGCUUACUGGACCAUAACUGACGCUGAGGCACGAAAGCGUGGGUAGCAAACAGGAUUAGAUACCCCCGUAGUCC